Molecule: ribosomal RNA, 460 nt
Filed under: uncultured bacterium
Lineage: Bacteria
Description: partial 16S ribosomal RNA
Rfam family: Bacterial small subunit ribosomal RNA
Source: RNAcentral
CCUACGGGUGGCAGCAGUGAGGAAUAUUGGUCAAUGGGCGGAAGCCUGAACCAGCCAAGUCGCGUGAGGGAAUAAGGCCCUACGGGUCGUAAACCUCUUUUGCCGGGGAGCAAGGUCGGGGACGUGUCCCGUCCCGGAGAGUACCCGGAGACAAAGCAUCGGCUAACCCCGUGCCAGCAGCCGCGGUAAUACGGAGGAUGCGAUCGUUCUCCGGCUUUAUUGGGUUUAAAGGGUGCUUAGGCGGGCUUUUAAGUCAGCGGUAAAAAUUCGGGGCUCAACCCCGUCCGGCCGUUGAAACUGGGGGCCUUGAGUGGGCGAGAAGAAGGCGGAAUGCGUGGUGUAGCGGUGAAAUGCAUAGAUAUCACGCAGAACCCCGAUUGCGAAGGCAGCCUUCCGGCGCCCUACUGACGCUGAGGCACGAAAGUGCGGGGAUCGAACAGGAUUAGAUACCCUUGUAGUC